UGGGUUAGUGGCGGACGGGUGAGUAACGCGUGGGUAACCUGCCUUACACAGGGGGAUAACACUUAGAAAUAGGUGCUAAAACCGCAUAAGCACACAGCUUCGCAUGAAGCGGUGUGAAAAACUCCGGUGGUGUAAGAUGGACCCGCGUCUGAUUAGCUUGUUGGCGGGGUAACGGCCCACCAAGGCGACGAUCAGUAGCCGGCCUGAGAGGGCGGACGGCCACAUUGGGACUGAGACACGGCCCAGACUCCUACGGGAGGCAGCAG
RNAcentral lists this ribosomal RNA (266 nucleotides) under uncultured bacterium. RNAcentral describes it as "partial 16S ribosomal RNA". It matches the Rfam family "Bacterial small subunit ribosomal RNA", at positions 88 to 354 of the family's 1533-position model. The record is from RNAcentral.